Molecule: ribosomal RNA, 460 nt
Filed under: uncultured bacterium
Lineage: Bacteria
Description: partial 16S ribosomal RNA
Rfam family: Bacterial small subunit ribosomal RNA
Source: RNAcentral
CCUACGGGUGGCAGCAGUGAGGAAUAUUGGUCAAUGGACGCAAGUCUGAACCAGCCAUGCCGCGUGCAGGAAGACGGCUUUAUGAGUUGUAAACUGCUUUUGUACGAGGGUAAACGCAGAUACGCGUAUCUCUCUGAAAGUAUCUUACGAAUAAGGCUCGGCUAACUCCGUGCCAGCAGCCGCGGUAAUACGGAGGAUUCAAGCGUUAUCCGGAUUUAUUGGGUGGAAAGGGUGCGUAGGCGGUCAGGUAAGUUAGCGGUGAAAUCCUGUGGCCCAACUUCGGAAUUGCCUCGGAUACUAGUAGGCUAGAGGGUAGUUGCGGUAGGCGGAAUGUAUGGUGUAGCGGUGAAAUGCUUAGAGAUCAGAAAGAACACCGAUGGCGAAGGCAGCUUACCAGGCUACAACUGACGUUGAGGCACGAAAGCGUGGGGAGCAAACAGGAUUAGAUACCCCAGUAGUC